This 497-nucleotide ribosomal RNA is filed under the name uncultured bacterium. RNAcentral's name for it is "partial 16S ribosomal RNA". It matches the Rfam family "Bacterial small subunit ribosomal RNA", at positions 28 to 507 of the family's 1533-position model. The record is from RNAcentral.
GAUGAACGCUGGCGGCGUGCCUAAUACAUGCAAGUCGAGCGAACGGACGAGAAGCUUGCUUCUCUGAUGUUAGCGGCGGACGGGUGAGUAACACGUGGAUAACCUACCUAUAAGACUGGGAUAACUUCGGGAAACCGGAGCUAAUACCGGAUAAUAUUUUGAACCGCAUGGUUCAAAAGUGAAAGACGGUCUUGCUGUCACUUAUCGAUGGAUCCGCGCUGCAUUAGCUAGUUGGUAAGGUAACGGCUUACCAAGGCAACGAUGCAUAGCCGACCUGAGAGGGUGAUCGGCCACACUGGAACUGAGACACGGUCCAGACUCCUAAGGGAGGCAGCAGUAGGGAAUCUUCCGCAAAGGGCGAAAGCAUGACGGAGCAACGCCGCGUGAGUGAUGAAGGUCUUCGGAUCGUAAAACUCUGUUAUUAGGGAAGAACAGAUGUGUAAGUAACUGUGCACAUCGUGACGGUACCUAAUCAGAAAGCCACGGCUAACUACGUG